Molecule: ribosomal RNA, 440 nt
Filed under: uncultured bacterium
Lineage: Bacteria
Description: bacterial SSU rRNA
Rfam family: Bacterial small subunit ribosomal RNA
Source: RNAcentral
AGCGAACGCUGGCGGCAGGCCUAAUACAUGCAAGUCGAACGAUCCUUCGGGAUAGUGGCGGACGGGUGAGUAACACGUGGGAACGUGCCCUUUGGUUCGGAAUAACUCAGGGAAACUUGAGCUAAUACCGAAUGUGCCCUUCGGGGAAAGAUUUAUCGCCAUUGGAGCGGCCCGCGUCUGAUUAGCUUGUUGGUGGGGUAAUGGCCUACCAAGGCUACGAUCAGUAGCUGGUCUGAGAGGAUGAUCAGCCACACUGGGACUGAGACACGGCCCAGACUCCUACGGGAGGCAGCAGUAGGGAAUCUUGCGCAAUGGGCGAAAGCCUGACGCAGCCAUGCCGCGUGGAUGAUGAAGGUCUUAGGAUUGUAAAAUCCUUUCAGCGGGGACGAUAAUGACGGUACCCGCAGAAGAACGCCCCGGCUAACUUCGUGCCAGCAGCC